RNAcentral lists this ribosomal RNA (275 nucleotides) under uncultured bacterium. RNAcentral's name for it is "partial 16S ribosomal RNA". It matches the Rfam family "Archaeal small subunit ribosomal RNA", at positions 473 to 747 of the family's 1478-position model. The record is from RNAcentral.
AAACCAGCACCUCAAGUGGUCAGGAGGAUUAUUGGGCCUAAAGCAUCCGUAGCCUGUUCUAUAAGUUUUCGGUUAAAUCCAUUAGCUCAACUAAUGGGCUGCCGAAAAUACUGUAGAACUAGGGAGUGGGAGAGGUAGACGGUAUUCGGUAGGAAGGGGUAAAAUCCUUUGAUCUAUUGAGGACCACCUGUGGCGAAGGCGGUCUACCAGAACACGUUCGACGGUGAGGGAUGAAAGCUGGGGGAGCAAACCGGAUUAGAAACCCGGAGUAGUCC